Molecule: ribosomal RNA, 578 nt
Filed under: uncultured bacterium
Lineage: Bacteria
Description: bacterial SSU rRNA
Rfam family: Bacterial small subunit ribosomal RNA
Source: RNAcentral
ACGGGUGAGUAACACGUGGGUGAUCUGCCCUGCACUUUGGGAUAAGCCUGGGAAACUGGGUCUAAUACCAGAUAGGACCAUGCUUUGGAUGGUGUGGUGGAAAGUUUUUUCGGUGUGGGAUGAGCUUGCGGCCUAUCAGCUUGUUGGUGGGGUAAUGGCCUACCAAGGCGUCGACGGGUAGCCGGCCUGAGAGGGUGUACGGCCACAUUGGGACUGAGAUACGGCCCAGACUCCUACGGGAGGCAGCAGUGGGGAAUAUUGCACAAUGGGCGCAAGCCUGAUGCAGCGACGCCGCGUGGGGGAUGACGGCCUUCGGGUUGUAAACUCCUUUCGCAGCUGACGAAACUUUUUGUGACGGUAGGUUGAGAAGAAGCACCGGCUAACUACGUGCCAGCAGCCGCGGUAAUACGUAGGGUGCGAGCGUUGUCCGGAAUUACUGGGCGUAAAGAGCUCGUAGGUGGUUUGUCGCGUCGUGUGUGAAAUUCCGGGGCUUAACUUCGGGGUUGCAUACGAUACGGGCAUAACUUGAGUGCUGUAGGGGAGACUGGAAUUCCUGGUGUAGCGGUGAAAUGCGCAGA